GUGCUGGCUAUGUCGUGUGGGUACAUCGAACACAUGGCUCCAAACCCUCCGACUGUUUGCCAAUCAGUCGACCCGGGUUCGAUUCCCGAUAGGGACUUCGGGUUUCGUUCCCACUCAUCACCCACUGACGCAAUCCAGCACUUUU
Molecule: vault RNA, 145 nt
Filed under: Branchiostoma floridae (Florida lancelet)
Lineage: Eukaryota; Metazoa; Chordata; Leptocardii; Amphioxiformes; Branchiostomatidae
Rfam family: Vault RNA
About the family: This family of RNAs are found as part of the enigmatic vault ribonucleoprotein complex. The complex consists of a major vault protein (MVP), two minor vault proteins (VPARP and TEP1), and several small untranslated RNA molecules.
Source: Rfam by way of RNAcentral